AUAAUUAAACUCUACUUGCAAUAAAAAGCGAUUACAUUAAACAUUAAGAAAUGAAUCUCAAUAAUUUUUAAACUAAUAUUUUUAGUUAAACAAAAAAAAAAAAUCUCAAAAAAGAAAGUUAAUUUGAAGUUUUUUUAUAUCAUAAAUUUAUUUGUAAUUAUUUUUUAGCUGAUGUACCGUUAAACUGAAGGUGGUAAUAAAGUUUACAAAAUUUGCUCUGGCUGAAUUUUUCAAUGAAAAAACAAUGUGUGCCAUAAAUGUAAUCUAUUUUUCAUGGGGUAUCUAUGAAAGUUUGGUGUAUUGGCCAAAUCACUUGCAAGCAUCUUGCUAUUAAACUGCCAUACGUAAAGUCACGCUAUUAAAAGUAACUGAAAGCAGCUGAAAAUAAGAAUUUUUUGAUGAACUUUCUUACUUCGGUUGGAGAAGAUGAGAAACAACUUACAGCGGCAAUCUUAAUAGAGCUAAUGGCCAAAGAAAUAUGUUUUUCAUACUCAGUGUAUGCAAUGAAACAAAACGUUCUGCAAGGUCGUUAUAGAGUUGCGUUUAGUCGUUUAUCGUUGUAUUCGUUCAUUUCGAAAUCGUUACUGACAAAAGUAUUAAAGAAAAAAUUGGCAGCUUUCUGGCGACGGCCAUUAAUAGAGAUUACGGAAAAAAAAUAGAACCGUAACUGAGCAACGCCCAAUAUUGAGCAAUGAAAUAAGUAUCGCCAAAAUAAUGAAAGUCGAUGCCCACUAUCUCAUAGUGAGAGUAUAA
Hydra vulgaris (swiftwater hydra) is the source of this 753-nucleotide non-coding RNA. Lineage: Eukaryota; Metazoa; Cnidaria; Hydrozoa; Anthoathecata; Hydridae. The record is from RefSeq and is a predicted model, not a curated record.